Molecule: ribosomal RNA, 449 nt
Filed under: uncultured bacterium
Lineage: Bacteria
Description: bacterial SSU rRNA
Rfam family: Bacterial small subunit ribosomal RNA
Source: RNAcentral
AUGAACGCUAGCGGUGCGCCUAACACAUGCAAGUCGAGCGUGAUUAUUUUGUAGCUUGCUAUAAAAUAUGAAAGCGGCGAACGGGUGAGUAACACGUUGGUAUCUGCCCUCUGGUCAGGGAUAGCCAGGAGAAAUCCUGAUUAAUACCGGAUAGUCUCGAAAGAGUAAAGAUUUAUCGCUUAAGGAGGAGCCUUCAUUCUAUCAGUUAGUUGGUGAGGUAAUGGCUUACCAAGACUAUGACAGAUAGCUGGUCUGAGAGGAUGAUCAGCCACAAUGGAACUGAGACACGGUCCAUACUCUUACGGGAGGCAGCAGUGAGGAAUCUUCCACAAUGGACGAAAGUCUGAUGGAGCGACACCGCGUGAAGGAUGAAGGUCUAACGACUGUAAACUUCUUUUCUGAAGGAGCAUAAUGAGAGUACUUCAGGAAUAAGCACCGGCAAAACUCGU